AGAGUUUGAUCAUGGCUCAGAGCGAACGCUGGCGGCAGGCUUAACACAUGCAAGUCGAGCGGGCGUAGCAAUACGUCAGCGGCAGACGGGUGAGUAACGCGUGGGAACGUACCUUUUGGUUCGGAACAACACAGGGAAACUUGUGCUAAUACCGGAUAAGCCCUUACGGGGAAAGAUUUAUCGCCGAAAGAUCGGCCCGCGUCUGAUUAGCUAGUUGGUGAGGUAACGGCUCACCAAGGCGACGAUCAGUAGCUGGUCUGAGAGGAUGAUCAGCCACAUUGGGACUGAGACACGGCCCAAACUCCUACGGGAGGCAGCAGUGGGGAAUAUUGGACAAUGGGCGCAAGCCUGAUCCAGCCAUGCCGCGUGAGUGAUGAAGGCCCUAGGGUUGUAAAGCUCUUUUGUGCGGGAAGAUAAUGACGGUACCGCAAGAAUAAGCCCCGGCUAACUUCGUGCCAGCAGCCGCGGUAAUACGAAGGGGGCUAGCGUUGCUCGGAAUCACUGGGCGUAAAGGGUGCGUAGGCGGGUCUUUAAGUCAGGGGUGAAAUCCUGGAGCUCAACUCCAGAACUGCCUUUGAUACUGAAGAUCUUGAGUUCGGGAGAGGUGAGUGGAACUGCGAGUGUAGAGGUGAAAUUCGUAGAUAUUCGCAAGAACACCAGUGGCGAAGGCGGCUCACUGGCCCGAUACUGACGCUGAGGCACGAAAGCGUGGGGAGCAAACAGGAUUAGAUACCCUAGUAGUCC
RNAcentral lists this ribosomal RNA (744 nucleotides) under uncultured bacterium. Its description in RNAcentral is "bacterial SSU rRNA". It matches the Rfam family "Bacterial small subunit ribosomal RNA", at positions 8 to 796 of the family's 1533-position model. The record is from RNAcentral.